This 460-nucleotide ribosomal RNA is filed under the name uncultured bacterium. RNAcentral describes it as "partial 16S ribosomal RNA". It matches the Rfam family "Bacterial small subunit ribosomal RNA", at positions 338 to 795 of the family's 1533-position model. The record is from RNAcentral.
CCUACGGGAGGCAGCAGUGAGGAAUAUUGGUCAAUGGACGCAAGUCUGAACCAGCCAUGCCGCGUGCAGGAAGACGGCUCUAUGCGUUGUAAACUGCUUUUGUACGAGGGUAAACGCAGAUACGCGUAUCUGUCUGAAAGUAUCGUAUGAGUAAGGAUCGGCUAACUCCGUGCCAGCAGCCACGGGAAUACGGAGGAUUCAAGCGUUAUCCGGAUUUAUUGGGUGUAAAGGGUGCGUAGGCGGUCGGAUAAGUUAGAGGUGAAAUCCGGAGGCUCAACUUCGGAAUUGCCUUUGAUACUGUGCGGCUGGAGAGUAGUAGAGGUAGGCGGAAUGUAUGGUGUAGCGGUGAAAUGCUUAGAGAUUAUGCAGAACACCGAUUGCGAAGGCAGCUUACCAGGCUACUACUGACGUUGAGGCACGAAAGCGUGGGGAGCAAACAGGAUUAGAUACCCGAGUAGUC